RNAcentral lists this ribosomal RNA (406 nucleotides) under uncultured bacterium. Its description in RNAcentral is "partial 16S ribosomal RNA". It matches the Rfam family "Bacterial small subunit ribosomal RNA", at positions 30 to 526 of the family's 1533-position model. The record is from RNAcentral.
AUUGAACGCUGGCGGCAGGCCUAACACAUGCAAGUCGAGCGAGCGGCGGACGGGUGAGUAAUGUAUGGGGAUCUGCCCGAUAGAGGGGGAUAACUACUGGAAACUGUGGCUAAUACCGCAUAAUAUGGGAUGACCCUAUAUGGGAUUAGCUAGUGGGUGGGGUAAAGGCUCCUCUAGGCGACGAUCUCUAGCUGGUCUGAGAGGAUGAUCAGCCACACUGGGACUGAGACACGGCCCAGACUCCUACGGGAGGCAGCAGUGGGGAAUAUUGCACAAUGGGCGCAAGCCUGAUGCAGCCAUGCCGCGUGUAUGAAGAAGGCCUUAGGGUUGUAAAGUACUUUCAGCGGGGAGGCGUUACUCGCAGAAGAAGCACCGGCUAACUCCGUGCCAGCCGCCGCGGUAAUAC